This is a long non-coding RNA of Capsella rubella, 424 nucleotides long. RefSeq lists it as uncharacterized. Lineage: Eukaryota; Viridiplantae; Streptophyta; Magnoliopsida; Brassicales; Brassicaceae. The record is from RefSeq and is a predicted model, not a curated record. The transcript has 3 exons.
GGAAAAGAAGAGAAGAGACGAGAGAUACACAAACGGAGAAGAAAGGAGAAAAUCAAUUUUUGAUAUCUUUGUUGUACGUCUUUCUUAUCUCAUUUGAGAACGAUCAGUAGGAGUUGCAUCUUUAAAUUGGCAGUGUUCUCGUCUGAUUCUGCAAAAACUCGAAAUUCAGGACUUAUACAUUGUAGAGAAACUGAAAACAGUUUAUUGAAUCGGGUAGCUCAUAUUUGAAUUUUUGAUUGCUGAAUGUGUUUUUCGAAGAGAACAACACCUCUUAAGUUAGUCAAAUAAUCCAUUUUCUUUGAUGUUAAGUUUCUGUAGUUUUUUUGGUUGGAACAUCCCUAAAGCACGACCCACUCAACUUGAGCCGAAGGAAACAGUGAGAGUGAGAUCAUUAUAUUCAUCAUUGUGUGUGAUUUUUUUUUUU